Cynoglossus semilaevis (tongue sole) is the source of this 1588-nucleotide long non-coding RNA. RefSeq lists it as uncharacterized. The transcript has 7 exons. The record is from RefSeq and is a predicted model, not a curated record. Lineage: Eukaryota; Metazoa; Chordata; Actinopteri; Pleuronectiformes; Cynoglossidae.
CUUGUUCUGGAACCAGACCCGGAUCACCCGGGGGCUCAGGCCGGUCAUCUCCACCAGCUGCUCCUUCAUCAGCGCGUCCGGCCUCGGGUUGGCGUUGUAGCAGGUCCGCAACGUGUGCAGCUGCUUCUCGUUCAGCACCGUCCGCACCCGCGUCGUCUUCUCCGACUGCUUGUGGACGUGGUUCCGAUGCGGGGCCUGUCGCACCGUGACCGGGUCUUCAGAGGAGAGAGAGGAGGGGACGGAGGAGAAAAACACACACACACCGUUUGGUGCAGCGCUCUGUUGUUGGAGUGCAUGUGCACCGGGCUGCACGGACUCCCAGCGGAGCUUCUCUCCAGGAGGAGGCUGUGGUCCGCCCGGCACAGCAGCUCCUCUUCCCGCAAAGAGAACUCAUCUCCCGGCAGCAGCUGCCGGCUGCACACCGAGCAGCGGAAACACUCGAUGUGGUAGACGUUUUCCCGGGCCCUCAUCACCAAGUCGCUGCUGCUGAAUCCCAGGUUUUCCCGUCCCGGACGAAACAAGUGCAGGUCUCAUCCAGGUAUUGACUGCACUCUGCACACUUGAGACAGGCUGCAUGCCACUCCAGGUCCGGAGACACUCUCAGUAUGUACUGGUCAUGGAUCUGACUUCCACAUCCCACACACAUCGCGAAUCCUGGCUUCUCUGCAACCAAAAAAACACACACACUGCUGUGAUGUUCCGUAACUAAAAUUGGAUUCUCUCCAAAAUUCGACGUUCGAUUCGGUGUUUUGAUUCCCUCCAGAUAUCGAAUCCUCUACCGAAUAUCUCACGUACAGUCCAUAAAUAAAAGCCGCUGCGGCGCAGACACGAUCUGUCUCCCUGGAAGUGUCCGCUGGAGCGGAUGUUUACUUACUUUUGGAAUGAUCCCCCAUAUCACCCAAGAAAGAAGAGUUGAAAAUAACAUCCACCAUACAGGAAGGAUGACGGGCGCUGUGGUCGAGGCAGAAAAGAUGUCAGCUGCUGGACUGGACCCUCGCCUGCCUCCCUGAGAACUUCUGUCUGUCCCGACUGGAGGGGGGCAAGGAAGCUGCACCGUCCCACGCACCCUCGGCUCCUCCGACGUCAUGACGUCAGCAGACGGAACUCUCCAAUCACCUUGUCCGCGUCAGCCUGAGCCUGUAAAGUCGUCCUCGUUCAUCAACCUCUCCAGAAGAAUCGCUGUUCUGCCGUUUAUCUUUUCGAGAACAAGGCCAUCUACUGGUGGAAAAUCAGCACUGCAGUUAUUGAUGAUAGAAGACCUUCGAGAGUGCUGGACAUGUUGAAUGAGGUAUUUAUCCAUCCACCGCAAAGGGGGGUGUGGAGUGGAGUAAAGUGGCCACGACCUGGAACAACAUGGGACUCGUUGGCCCUGGAAUCCUGGAAACUCCCCACCAGGGGUCAGUAGAGCUGAGGAAGCCCCUUGGAUGAAGAGGAGAAACGUCUUCAACUGGAGAGCUGUAUCAGCUGGACCCAGGAGCCGGAACUUCUCCUCCAGAGAUGGCUCGGUGUCGCCGCCCUGCAGAUGGAUCAGAGGCUUAGUCUGCAACAGCACACAACCGCUGCCUUGGCCACGCCUCUCCUCCUGGUU